AGCUAAACCAAUCUAAUCAAACU
This 23-nucleotide small nuclear RNA is filed under the name Arabidopsis thaliana (thale cress). Its description in RNAcentral is "snRNA_03472". Lineage: Eukaryota; Viridiplantae; Streptophyta; Magnoliopsida; Brassicales; Brassicaceae. The record is from RNAcentral.